GAUGAACGCUGGCGGCGUGCCUAAUACAUGCAAGUCGAGCGAACGGACGAGAAGCUUGCUUUUCUGAUGUUAGCGGCGGACGGGUGAGUAACACGUGGAUAACCUACCUAUAAGACUGGGAUAACUUCGGGAAACCGGAGCUAAUACCGGAUAAUAUUUUGAACCGCAUGGUUCAAAAGUGAAAGACGGUCUUGCUGUCACUUAUAGAUGGAUCCGCGCUGCAUUAGCUAGUUGGUAAGGUAACGGCUUACCAAGGCAACGAUGCAUAGCCGACCUGAGAGGGGGAUCGGCCACACUGGAACUGAAACACGGACCAGACUCCUACGGGAGGCAGCAGUAGGGAAUCUUCCGCAAUGGGCGAAAGCCUGACGGAGCAACGCCGCGUGAGUGAUGAAGGUCUUCGGAUCGUAAAACUCUGUUAUUAGGGAAGAACAUAUGUGUAAGUAACUGUGCACAUCUUGACGGUACCUAAUCAGAAAGCCACGGCUAACUACGUG
RNAcentral lists this ribosomal RNA (497 nucleotides) under uncultured bacterium. RNAcentral describes it as "partial 16S ribosomal RNA". It matches the Rfam family "Bacterial small subunit ribosomal RNA", at positions 28 to 507 of the family's 1533-position model. The record is from RNAcentral.